RNAcentral lists this ribosomal RNA (253 nucleotides) under uncultured bacterium. RNAcentral describes it as "partial 16S ribosomal RNA". It matches the Rfam family "Bacterial small subunit ribosomal RNA", at positions 524 to 776 of the family's 1533-position model. The record is from RNAcentral.
UACGUAGGGUGCAAGCGUUAAUCGGAAUUACUGGGCGUAAAGCGUGCGCAGGCGGUUUUGUAAGUCAGAUGUGAAAUCCCCGGGCUCAACCUGGGAAUGGCAUUUGGGACUGCAAGGCUGGAGUACGGCAGAGGAGACUGGAAUUCCUGGUGUAGCAGUGAAAUGCGUAGAUAUCAGGAGGAAUACCGAUGGCGAAGGCAGGUCUCUGGGCUGAUACUGACGCUCAUGCACGAAAGCGUGGGGAGCAAACAGG